RNAcentral lists this ribosomal RNA (487 nucleotides) under uncultured bacterium. RNAcentral's name for it is "bacterial SSU rRNA". It matches the Rfam family "Bacterial small subunit ribosomal RNA", at positions 30 to 525 of the family's 1533-position model. The record is from RNAcentral.
AUUGAACGCUGGCGGCAGGCCUAACACAUGCAAGUCGAGCGGUAACAGGGGUGCUUGCACCCGCUGACGAGCGGCGGACGGGUGAGUAACGCGUAGGAAUCUACCUAGUAGUGGGGGAUAGCCCGGGGAAACUCGGAUUAAUACCGCAUACGCCUUAAGAGGGAAAGCAGGGGAACUUCGGUCCUUGUGCUAUUAGAUGAGCCUGCGUUGGAUUAGCUAGUUGGUAGGGUAAAGGCCUACCAAGGCGACGAUCCAUAGCUGGUCUGAGAGGAUGAUCAGCCACACUGGAACUGAGACACGGUCCAGACUCCUACGGGAGGCAGCAGUGGGGAAUAUUGGACAAUGGGGGCAACCCUGAUCCAGCCAUGCCGCGCGUGUGAAGAAGGCCUCGGUUGUAAGACACUUAAGUUAGGUAGGAAGGCCGUUGCAGUUAAUACCUGUGAGGAUUGACGUUACCAACAGAAUAAGACACCGGACUAACUACCGU